RNAcentral lists this ribosomal RNA (300 nucleotides) under uncultured bacterium. Its description in RNAcentral is "bacterial SSU rRNA". It matches the Rfam family "Bacterial small subunit ribosomal RNA", at positions 399 to 691 of the family's 1533-position model. The record is from RNAcentral.
GCGUGCAGGAUGAAGGCCUUCGGGUUGUAAACUGCUUUUGUACGGAACGAAAAGACUCUUUCUAAUAAAGAGGGUCCAUGACGGUACCGUAAGAAUAAGCACCGGCUAACUACGUGCCAGCAGCCGCGGUAAUACGUAGGGUGCAAGCGUUAAUCGGAAUUACUGGGCGUAAAGCGUGCGCAGGCGGUUAUGUAAGACAGAUGUGAAAUCCCCGGGCUCAACCUGGGAACUGCAUUUGUGACUGCAUAGCUAGAGUACGGCAGAGGGGGAUGGAAUUCCGCGUGUAGCAGUGAAAUGCGU